Molecule: long non-coding RNA, 438 nt
Filed under: Phoenix dactylifera (date palm)
Lineage: Eukaryota; Viridiplantae; Streptophyta; Magnoliopsida; Arecales; Arecaceae
Description: long non-coding RNA (PDAC_LNC005086)
Source: RNAcentral
CAAGGCUGGGGUGAUCGGUCUAGUAGGCGGCCCGGAUACUAGGGCAGUUUAGGGCCUCGGUUUAUGGAUCCAUGGGUCUUCUUAGAGAGAGAAAUAGGGAGAUGAGAGAGAAGGAAGAGAGAAAAAAUAAGAAAGAGAAACAAGAGAGGGAUAACUCUCUCUCUCCUCCUCUUUUUCUUUUCUUCUUUCUUUCUUUNNNNNNNNNNAAAUAGGGGAGGAAGGGAGGUGGGCUAUUAGCUACCAUGGUCAUGAUCAGGCGAAGCAGCAGCAGGCGGUGGUGGCGGCCAGCAAAGGGCGGUCAGCGGCGGCAGAUGGCUGGUUGGAUUUAGCCCAAAAAAAAAUACAAGGCCAAGCAGGAGGAUCUGCGAUCCAAUCAAUACCAAACACCGGUCGGCUUGUUGGUGGCUGGAUCUCCAGCAUCUAGUUAAGGAUAACGGC